GGGAUACUGGAGUGAUGGAGGUAGAUAUGUAUAGGGGUAAGGUGACAGGGAUACUGGAGUGAUGGAGGUAGAUAUGUAUAGGGGUAAGGUGACAGGGAUACUGGAGUGAUGGAGGUAGAUAUGUAUAGGGGUAAGGUGACAGGGAUACUGGAGUGAUGGAGGUAGAUAUUAUAGGGGUAAGGUGACAGGGAUACUAGAGUGAUGGAGGUAGAUAUGUAUAGGGGUAAGGAGACAGGGAUACUGGAGUGAUGGAGGUAGAUAUGUAUGUUAGGUGACAGAGAUACUGGAGUGAUGGAGGUAGAUAUGUAUAGGGGUAAGGAGACAGGGAUUCUGGAGUGAUGGAGGUAGAUAUGUAUGUUAGGUGACAGAGAUACUGGAGUGAUGGAGGUAGAUAUGUAUAGAGGUAAGGGGACAGGGAUACUGGAGUGAUGGAGGUAGAUAUGUUUAGGGGUAAGGUGACAGGGAUACUGGAGUGAUGGAGGUAGAUAUGUAUAGGGGUAAGGUGACAGGGAUACUGGAGUGAUGGAGGUAGAUAUGUAUAGGGGUAAGGUGACAGGGAUACUGGAGUGAUGGAGGUAGAUAUGUAUAGGGGUAAGGUGACAGGGAUACUGGAGUGAUGGAGGUAGAUAGUGUAUGUAUAGCCGUAAGGUGACAGGGAUACUGGAGUGAUGGAGGUAGAUAUGUAUAGGGGUAAGGUGACAGGGAUACUGGAGUGAUGGAGGUAGAUAUGUAUAGGGGUAAGGUGACAGGGAUACUGGAGUGAUGGAGGUAGAUAUGUAUAGGGGUAAGGUGACAGGGAUACUGGAGUGAUGGAGGUAGAUAUGUAUAGCCGUAAGGUGACAGGGAUACUGGAGUGAUGGAGGUAGAUAUGAAUAGAGGUAAGGUGACUAGGCAACAAGAUAUAACAAACUGAGUAGCAGCAGCUUGUAUGUAAUAACAGCAGCUUGUAUGUAGAUGGAGUGAGUGAGUGUUAGAGUGACAGUGUUUGUGUGUUGGAGUGACAGUGUGUUAGUGUUGGGG
This is a long non-coding RNA of Oncorhynchus tshawytscha (Chinook salmon), 1020 nucleotides long. NCBI's taxonomy places the organism in Eukaryota, Metazoa, Chordata, Actinopteri, Salmoniformes, Salmonidae. The record is from Ensembl.